RNAcentral lists this ribosomal RNA (511 nucleotides) under uncultured bacterium. RNAcentral's name for it is "bacterial SSU rRNA". It matches the Rfam family "Bacterial small subunit ribosomal RNA", at positions 17 to 518 of the family's 1533-position model. The record is from RNAcentral.
UCCUGGCUCAGAUUGAACGCUGGCGGCAGGCCUAACACAUGCAAGUCGAACGGUAACAGGAAGAAGCUUGCUCUUGCUGACGAGUGGCGGACGGGUGAGUAAUGUCUGGGAAACUGCCUGAUGGAGGGGGAUAACUACUGGAAACGGUAGCUAAUACCGCAUAACGUCGCAAGACCAAAGAGGGGGACCUUCGGGCCUCUUGCCAUCGGAUGUGCCCAGAUGGGAUUAGCUUGUUGGUGGGGUAACGGCUCACCAAGGCGACGAUCCCUAGCUGGUCUGAGAGGAUGACCAGCCACACUGGAACUGAGACACGGUCCAGACUCCUACGGGAGGCAGCAGUGGGGAAUAUUGCACAAUGGGCGCAAGCCUGAUGCAGCCAUGCCGCCGUGUAUGAAGAAGGCCUUCGGGUUGUAAAGUACUUUCAGCGGGGAGGAAGGGAGUAAAGUUAAUACCUUUGCUCAUUGACGUUACCCGCAGAAGAAGCACCGGCUAACUCCGUGCCAGCAGCGGC